RNAcentral lists this ribosomal RNA (400 nucleotides) under uncultured bacterium. RNAcentral's name for it is "bacterial SSU rRNA". It matches the Rfam family "Bacterial small subunit ribosomal RNA", at positions 28 to 422 of the family's 1533-position model. The record is from RNAcentral.
GAUGAACGCUAGCGGGAGGCUUAACACAUGCAAGUCGAGGGGCAGCAUAGGGUAGCAAUACUCUGAUGGCGACCGGCAAACGGGUGAGUAACGCGUAUGUAACCUACCCUGUACAGGGGGAUAACCCGGAGAAAUUCGGACUAAUAUCCCAUAACAAUAUCCGGGGGCAUCUUUGGAUAUUUAAAGUUCCGGCGGUACGGGAUGGGCAUGCGUAACAUUAGCUAGUUGGUAAGGUAACGGCUUACCAAGGCUUUGAUGUUUAGGGGUCCUGAGAGGGUGGUCCCCCACACUGGUACUGAGACACGGACCAGACUCCUACGGGAGGCAGCAGUGAGGAAUAUUGGUCAAUGGGCGCAAGCCUGAACCAGCCAUCCCGCGUGCAGGAAGACGGCGCUAUGCG